GUGUGAUUCGUCACACUAUCAUUAACUGAAUCCAUAGGUUAAUGAGGCGAACCGGGGGAACUGAAACAUCUAAGUACCCCGAGGAAAAGAAAUCAACCGAGAUUCCCCCAGUAGCGGCGAGCGAACGGGGAGCAGCCCAGAGCCUGAAUCAGUGUGUGUGUUAGUGGAAGCGUCUGGAAAGGCGUGCGAUACAGGGUGACAGCCCCGUACACAAAAAUGCACAUACUGUGAGCUCGAUGAGUAGGGCGGGACACGUGGUAUCCUGUCUGAAUAUGGGGGGACCAUCCUCCAAGGCUAAAUACUCCUGACUGACCGAUAGUGAACCAGUACCGUGAGGGAAAGGCGAAAAGAACCCCGGCGAGGGGAGUGAAAAAGAACCUGAAACCGUGUACGUACAAGCAGUGGGAGCACGCUUAGGCGUGUGACUGCGUACCUUUUGUAUAAUGGGUCAGCGACUUAUAUUCUGUAGCAAGGUUAACCGAAUAGGGGAGCCGAAGGGAAACCGAGUCUUAACUGGGCGUUAAGUUGCAGGGUAUAGACCCGAAACCCGGUGAUCUAGCCAUGGGCAGGUUGAAGGUUGGGUAACACUAACUGGAGGACCGAACCGACUAAUGUUGAAAAAUUAGCGGAUGACUUGUGGCUGGGGGUGAAAGGCCAAUCAAACCGGGAGAUAGCUGGUUCUCCCCGAAAGCUAUUUAGGUAGCGCCUCGUGAAUUCAUCUCCGGGGGUAGAGCACUGUUUCGGCAAGGGGGUCAUCCCGACUUACCAACCCGAUGCAAACUGCGAAUACCGGAGAAUGUUAUCACGGGAGACACACGGCGGGUGCUAACGUCCGUCGUGAAGAGGGAAACAACCCAGACCGCCAGCUAAGGUCCCAAAGUCAUGGUUAAGUGGGAAACGAUGUGGGAAGGCCCAGACAGCCAGGAUGUUGGCUUAGAAGCAGCCAUCAUUUAAAGAAAGCGUAAUAGCUCACUGGUCGAGUCGGCCUGCGCGGAAGAUGUAACGGGGCUAAACCAUGCACCGAAGCUGCGGCAGCGACGCUUAUGCGUUGUUGGGUAGGGGAGCGUUCUGUAAGCCUGUGAAGGUGUGCUGUGAGGUAUGCUGGAGGUAUCAGAAGUGCGAAUGCUGACAUAAGUAACGAUAAAGCGGGUGAAAAGCCCGCUCGCCGGAAGACCAAGGGUUCCUGUCCAACGUUAAUCGGGGCAGGGUGAGUCGACCCCUAAGGCGAGGCCGAAAGGCGUAGUCGAUGGGAAACAGGUUAAUAUUCCUGUACUUGGUGUUACUGCGAAGGGGGGACGGAGAAGGCUAUGUUGGCCGGGCGACGGUUGUCCCGGUUUAAGCGUGUAGGCUGGUUUUCCAGGCAAAUCCGGAAAAUCAAGGCCGAGGCGUGAUGACGAGGCACUACGGUGCUGAAGCAACAAAUGCCCUGCUUCCAGGAAAAGCCUCUAAGCAUCAGGUAACAUCAAAUCGUACCCCAAACCGACACAGGUGGUCAGGUAGAGAAUACCAAGGCGCUUGAGAGAACUCGGGUGAAGGAACUAGGCAAAAUGGUGCCGUAACUUCGGGAGAAGGCACGCUGAUACGUAGGUGAAGCGACUUGCUCGUGGAGCUGAAAUCAGUCGAAGAUACCAGCUGGCUGCAACUGUUUAUUAAAAACACAGCACUGUGCAAACACGAAAGUGGACGUAUACGGUGUGACGCCUGCCCGGUGCCGGAAGGUUAAUUGAUGGGGUUAGCGCAAGCGAAGCUCUUGAUCGAAGCCCCGGUAAACGGCGGCCGUAACUAUAACGGUCCUAAGGUAGCGAAAUUCCUUGUCGGGUAAGUUCCGACCUGCACGAAUGGCGUAAUGAUGGCCAGGCUGUCUCCACCCGAGACUCAGUGAAAUUGAACUCGCUGUGAAGAUGCAGUGUACCCGCGGCAAGACGGAAAGACCCCGUGAACCUUUACUAUAGCUUGACACUGAACAUUGAGCCUUGAUGUGUAGGAUAGGUGGGAGGCUUUGAAGUGUGGACGCCAGUCUGCAUGGAGCCGACCUUGAAAUACCACCCUUUAAUGUUUGAUGUUCUAACGUGGACCCGUGAUCCGGGUUGCGGACAGUGUCUGGUGGGUAGUUUGACUGGGGCGGUCUCCUCCUAAAGAGUAACGGAGGAGCACGAAGGUUGGCUAAUCCUGGUCGGACAUCAGGAGGUUAGUGCAAUGGCAUAAGCCAGCUUGACUGCGAGCGUGACGGCGCGAGCAGGUGCGAAAGCAGGUCAUAGUGAUCCGGUGGUUCUGAAUGGAAGGGCCAUCGCUCAACGGAUAAAAGGUACUCCGGGGAUAACAGGCUGAUACCGCCCAAGAGUUCAUAUCGACGGCGGUGUUUGGCACCUCGAUGUCGGCUCAUCACAUCCUGGGGCUGAAGUAGGUCCCAAGGGUAUGGCUGUUCGCCAUUUAAAGUGGUACGCGAGCUGGGUUUAGAACGUCGUGAGACAGUUCGGUCCCUAUCUGCCGUGGGCGCUGGAGAACUGAGGGGGGCUGCUCCUAGUACGAGAGGACCGGAGUGGACGCAUCACUGGUGUUCGGGUUGUCAUGCCAAUGGCACUGCCCGGUAGCUAAAUGCGGAAGAGAUAAGUGCUGAAAGCAUCUAAGCACGAAACUUGCCCCGAGAUGAGUUCUCCCUGACCCUUUAAGGGUCCUGAAGGAACGUUGAAGACGACGACGUUGAUAGGCCGGGUGUGUAAGCGCAGCGAUGCGUUGAGCUAACCGGUACUAAUGAACCGUGAGGCUUAACCUUACAACGCCGAAG
This 2785-nucleotide ribosomal RNA is filed under the name Shigella flexneri. RNAcentral's name for it is "partial 23S ribosomal RNA". It matches the Rfam family "Bacterial large subunit ribosomal RNA". Lineage: Bacteria; Pseudomonadati; Pseudomonadota; Gammaproteobacteria; Enterobacterales; Enterobacteriaceae. The record is from RNAcentral.